UUUAAAAAUCCCGGCUCACUGUGGGCGACCCGCAGAUGAGCGCUGGAUCCCAGCUGCCGGUGGUUCUUAGAGGAAGAUUCCUUUACUUUCCUCGGAAGAUUUGUGACGGUUUACAAGCGCUGGGGCUUGCCAACAUAUUUCAAAUAUGUGCUUGGCCUCCCAGCCGCAUCCACAUUCCCCUUAUCACUCCGGUGGAGGAGUCAGAGAUCCCAGCCAAGGCGUCACUUUCCCUUCUCCGCGUCCGCCUGCUGCCAGCGGAGCCCUCCGCCCCGCGCUCGUUCGCUGGUUCGCAGCCUCGGGUGUGUGUCCAGGGGCCGCUUGCAUAAACUCUGUGUUACAUGAGAACACUGAGAUCCAGAGCUGGUGGCAGAGACAGGAUUCGAACUCUGGCUGUGUGCGCUUUGGUCAUCACUGCCGACCGAAAUCACAGCUCCACCCGCGUUCCUCUCUGCUUGGGUUUGCAUAUUCAGCUGGAGAAAAGUGAUUUAAAACAGGAACACCCACGGUGGCCCUGAGUCUGCCUAAGUUCUGGAAGCGGGGCAGCCUCAGGACUCUGAACUUGGCUGGUGUUUUCCCCUAGCCCCAGGGGCCCAGGGACCAGGAUUUGGCCUGUCUUAGGCCCCAAACCACCUGCUCGGCCCAGCGUCCAGCCGGCCUGCGUGUGAGUGAGGCAGAGAGGGGACCCUCCGCCGUCCUUAUAUACCGGGGUUAUUUUUAACCCGGCCUUCCAGAACAUUACGGAGCUUCCUCUCUCCGACUCGCAGGAAGCCCUACUUGGCUGUGUUUCCUGCUAACACGCGGCCCUGAGAUUGCUGAGAACAACAGGCUCAAGACUGCUCGGCUCCGGGGAAAAAAAAAACCUGGCCCCCUUUCAAAGCCCUGACAAAACCCUUUAAGAGCCCAGCGCUCCCGCCAGCCAGAGCAUGGCCCCCACAGGGCUGACAGAUUGGUCCAGACUGUGUCCAGGGCCCUCAGGCAGGGGGGCCCCAACUCCAUCACCCCUUCCCAAGGUGGGCAGAAAAACCUGUGCUCUCCACCCCACCCCCACCACGCCCCUUGGAGAGACAAAUACUUGCCUUGGUGGAUUUUUUUAUGCUUCUGUUUUUUUUUUUAAUUUUUACCUGUGUAUUUUUACUGAGGGGAAAUUCACGUAACAUAAAAUUAGUCAUUUUCAAGCAGAAAAUUUGGUGGCAUUGAGUCCAUUCUCCGUGCUGUGCAACUAUCACCUCUACCGAGUUCCCAAACAUUUCCACCACACCAGAAGGAAAUCCAGCCCCCAUCAGCAGUCACUCCCUGUUCCUCCUCCUCCAGCCCCCGGCAACCACUGAUCUGCUUUCUGUCUCUACGGCUUGGCCUCUCGUGGACAUUUCUUAGAGAUGGAAUCGUGCGUUGUGUGGCUUCUAGCGUCUGUCUUCU
Molecule: long non-coding RNA, 1416 nt
Organism: Bos taurus (domestic cattle)
Lineage: Eukaryota; Metazoa; Chordata; Mammalia; Artiodactyla; Bovidae
Source: Ensembl